AGGCUGUUCCCUCCAGACCCUGCUGCCGACCCAGGGGAGGCCUUGGGCCAGGAGGAACCUGACCUGGAGGAAGCACUGAGGCGACCAGGACUGCCAGCCGCUGAGUACCCGGAGGGGCCAGGCUGUAGCCCGGGCCAGCGUGAGCCCGACACAGAGGGGGAGCUGGAGCUGCCAGCAGCUGAAUACCCGGACGAGCUGGAGGGACCGGAGAGGCCCGCUUGAGAGACCGGCAGUGGACCCACGUCCACCAG
Long non-coding RNA from Dermochelys coriacea (leatherback sea turtle), 251 nucleotides. RefSeq lists it as uncharacterized. The record is from RefSeq and is a predicted model, not a curated record. The transcript is spliced from 3 exons. NCBI's taxonomy places the organism in Eukaryota, Metazoa, Chordata, Testudines, Dermochelyidae.